Xenia sp. Carnegie-2017 is the source of this 298-nucleotide long non-coding RNA. RefSeq lists it as uncharacterized. The transcript has 3 exons. The record is from RefSeq and is a predicted model, not a curated record. NCBI's taxonomy places the organism in Eukaryota, Metazoa, Cnidaria, Anthozoa, Malacalcyonacea, Xeniidae.
GCUGCGUCAGUCGAGAAAGUUUCUAUCAUCGUUCGCAGUUAUUAAACGACGUUCUUUGUCUAUUUCAAUUGACCGACUCCUUGUUCAACCUAAGUUGUUUUAUUUCAUCGAUUUUGAGGCAUAAAGUUUCUACAAGGAAGUCUCACUUACGACACGCGAUAUAUUAGCCUCAUGGCAUUGCAACAACGUGCAAAAGAAAUUUCUGAGUUUAACGAACCAAAAUCAAACGAAGAGAAGGAAAAACUAUUUGCAAGUGACAUUUUGGACUCUUUUCCAACUCAACACAGCGGGUCUUAUG